RNAcentral lists this long non-coding RNA (372 nucleotides) under Triticum aestivum (bread wheat). RNAcentral describes it as "long non-coding RNA (TAES_LNC009141)". Lineage: Eukaryota; Viridiplantae; Streptophyta; Magnoliopsida; Poales; Poaceae. The record is from RNAcentral.
AUUUUUACUCGUUCUCACUGCCAUUCUACUGGAAAUUCCACAAGGAAAAUAUAUGCCUUCUUCUUUCAUAGUAGUGAACGCUGAACCUGGACCAUCAAAGAGAAGAUAAUUUCUCAUCAAAUUGCCCAGCACUGUAAUGAGAAGAGAUGCAUCCAUAAAGUAAUAAACAAACCGAAUCUGAAUGUACCUCAUCAAAUGAAGGUGGCAGAAGUGUGGCGACCUAGCAUAGAUGUUUCACAGCCUCAAGGCUUGCAGAAUCAGAGAAGUCAGAAGCCUGCUAUGUAUAAUAUGUAGGCAUGUAUCUUACUUCAUGAGUCUCUUAUCUACUUUCCAGUAGGCAAAUUUUUGUAAGCAGACUUAUCUUACUUGAGA